GAUGAACGCUGGCGGCGUGCCUAAUACAUGCAAGUCGAGCGAACGGACGAGAAGCUUGCUUCUCUGAUGUUAGCGGCGGACGGGUGAGUAACACGUGGAUAACCUACCUAUAAGACUGGGAUAACUUCGGGAAACCGGAGCUAAUACCGGAUGAUAUUUUGAACCGCAUGGUUCAAGAGUGAAAGACGGUCUUGCUGUCACUUAUAGAUGGAUCCGCGCUGCAUUAGCUAGUUGGUAAGGUAACGGCUUACCAAGGCAACGAUGCAUAGCCGACCUGAGAGGGUGAUCGGCCACACUGGAACUGAGACACGGUCCAGACUCCUACGGGAGGCAGCAGUAGGGAAUCUUCCGCAAUGGGCGAAAGCCUGACGGAGCAACGCCGCGUGAGUGAUGAAGGUCUUCGGAUCGUAAAACUCUGUUAUUAGGGAAGAACAUAUGUGUAAGUAACUGUGCACAUCUUGACGGUACCUAAUCAGAAAGCCACGGCUAACUACGUG
This 497-nucleotide ribosomal RNA is filed under the name uncultured bacterium. Its description in RNAcentral is "partial 16S ribosomal RNA". It matches the Rfam family "Bacterial small subunit ribosomal RNA", at positions 28 to 507 of the family's 1533-position model. The record is from RNAcentral.